UCGAGUGAGCAUUCGUCUUCUGGUUACGGGGCCAUAGCUGAGCUGGGAGAGCGCGUGCUUUGCAAGCAUGAGGUCGUCGGUUCGAUCCCGUCUGGCUCCACCAGAUGGUUUGAUCACCUGCGACUGACCGUCGUCCGCGAAACAUCACUUCGCAUUCACUAGUCUGGAUAGACAGUGAACUGCGUGUUUUCUGACAUCGUAAAGAGGAGAUCGAUCCGAGUUGGGUCGUGCAGCAGAUUGUUGCGCGGAUCCUUCAUUAUCUCCGGAUCAUUUUCGGCGCUCGCUUUCAGCCGUGAGGCUGAACGCGAGUUGUAAAAUGAUCCUUUUAGCGAAGCUUGACCGCCUCGCUAUCGGAACGAUCUUACGAAGCAAGCUGGUCUUUCUAGUCAAUGUCCGGCUGUGAGAAUAGCGCUCGUCGAGGGCGCGUGCCGCAAGGCGGUUCUUACAGGCAGCAUUCUGCCGAGUGUGUGGACAUUGAUAAUGAGAGCAAUCAAGUGCCUUAAGGGUGUUCGGUGGAUGCCUUGGCGCUGAGAGGCGAUGAAGGACGUGCUACGCUGCGAUAAGCCGUGGGGAGCUGCGAAGAAGCUUUGAUCCGCGGAUUUCCGAUGG
RNAcentral lists this unclassified non-coding RNA (609 nucleotides) under uncultured Bradyrhizobium sp. Its description in RNAcentral is "partial 16S-23S ribosomal RNA intergenic spacer". The stretch from base 489 to 609 matches the Rfam family "Bacterial large subunit ribosomal RNA", at positions 1 to 121 of the family's 2925-position model. Lineage: Bacteria; Pseudomonadati; Pseudomonadota; Alphaproteobacteria; Hyphomicrobiales; Nitrobacteraceae. The record is from RNAcentral.